Molecule: signal recognition particle RNA, 277 nt
Filed under: Globisporangium iwayamae DAOM BR242034
Lineage: Eukaryota; Oomycota; Peronosporomycetes; Pythiales; Pythiaceae
Description: metazoan signal recognition particle RNA
Rfam family: Protozoan signal recognition particle RNA (bases 17-253)
Source: RNAcentral
GCCGGGUUGACUGGUGUCUACAUGUAACAGAUGCUUUCCUGGGUAGUCAGUGGGUCAUUGCGGGUCGCAGCAUGUCCCCAUGAUGUGGAUGGCGUGUCCGCUUUAGGCCAAGAGUGAUCAUUGACGCGUUGCCGUAGGGCAGUAUGUUGAGAUCACUAAGGAAGGGUGCACCGCCCAGGCUGGUCAGCAGAGCAGGGAAAAGACCUCGCACUUGGUAAUGGAAGGAUUUAGUGCCAGACUAGCGGCAGCGACUCAAAGAGUUUGUGAAAAAGACAAU